CACGCCUAAACACUCCUCUCAGACCAUCCCUCUUACAUCUCUCUACACCCCACCAUCCUCCACCUUAUUUUGCCGUCGGAAAUCGUCUCACGACGACAAAACACCUCCAUAUAUCCCCAAAUUAUCACCCUUCAAUCCCCAACACCCCCUAAAUCCAAAUCUACCUUCAAUUUUCCCAAAAUCCCCACCGAACUCAAUGAAUUAUAGAUAUGGAAAUCUCGGAAAAAUUAAAAUUUUUGCUCUUUCGUUUGCUUGAUCAUUUCGGCCAGUAUACGUUCAAGACUUCCAUCAAUAGAGAUUUGAUCCGUUUAUCGAUGGUCGAAUCUAGGUCAAAUUGCUGCUGACCGGCCAAUUUCUCCCGGAACCCCUUUCUGCCGACUCCUUUGAGCUCAAUAGUUACUGGUAACUAGAAAUUAGGUUCCUAGAUGUAAGGUGACCUCCACAGGAGUGCAAUGGAGCUGGCCUUGGGCAUUAUUCUCGAAUUAUUACAUGUUUCUAUGUUUAAACCAUUAGCACAAAUAGUCAUUCGUGUAAUAGGGUGAAUCUACGUGUUUGUUUAAAUUUAGCAAUCGCAAGUGUAUUAUGAUUCAGUUUUAAAUAUGAAGGAUGGAAAGGUUUGAAGUGAGGAAAUUUCGGCUCUGUAAUUUUGAUUAGCUAAACUAAUGAGCUACUGUUUCUAAAACUCAAUUGUUGAAGAUGGCUUUUAUUGUGAAUUCAAAUUACGACCUCUGAUGUAAUGAACUGCUACUGUACUCUGAACUUCGAUGAUGAAAUGCUGAUAUUUAGGAAAAGUUUUUCUUAUA
Non-coding RNA from Nicotiana tabacum (common tobacco), 803 nucleotides. The record is from RefSeq and is a predicted model, not a curated record. NCBI's taxonomy places the organism in Eukaryota, Viridiplantae, Streptophyta, Magnoliopsida, Solanales, Solanaceae.